AUGUGGCGUCUCCGUCAAUAACAAAAACCUGAACAGAAGAAUGACUCAAACACUACACGAGAGACACAGUGAAGAAGAAGAAGAAAAAGAUAUGAGGGGUCUAACAACACCUUUACAAUCAAAGCAUUGGCACCCAACAGCCCAAAACAACCUCAAAAAAUCAGAAAGCAACAAUCUUUACAAUUACCCUUUUCAGUGUAAUGUCAACAAUAACAACAACCCCUUAUCAAGAAAAGUAAAACCCAUAUCUUGUUUUGCUUCAGAAAACCCAAAUCAACCAAUCUUGAAAGAAUCAAAGCCACCCCUAGUAGUAGUUGGAUCAGCCAAUGCAGACAUAUAUGUGGAAAUUGAAAGAUUACCAAAAGAAGGGGAAACAAUCUCAGCCAAAACUGGUCAAACAUUGGCAGGUGGAAAAGGUGCAAAUCAAGCUGUUUGUGGUGGGAAGCUUUCAUACCCAACUUUCUUUAUUGGUCAAGUUGGUGAAGAUGCACAUGGGAAGUUGAUUACUGAAGCAUUAGAGAAUGGUGGGGUGUAUUUGGAUUACCUCACUACUGUUUCUAAUGCUCCUACUGGACAUGCUGUUGUGAUGCUUCAGUCCGAUGGCCAGAAUUCAAUUAUUAUUGUUGGUGGUGCCAACAUGUCUUGUUGGCCCGAAAAUUUAUCUGAUGAGGAUUUGGAGAUUGUGAGGAAUGCAGGGAUUGUAUUGCUCCAAAGGGAAAUCCCAGAUUUUGUUAAUAUUCAAGUUGCAAAGGCUGCCAGGAAUGCACAUGUUCCAGUUAUUCUAGAUGCUGGUGGCGUGGAUUCUCCAAUCCCUCUAGAGCUUCUUCGUUUUGUUGACAUUUUGAGCCCAAAUGAAACCGAGCUGGCUCGCAUAACAAAAAUGCCAACAGAAAGUUUCGACCAAAUCAGCAAGGCAGUGGAGAAGUGCUAUGAAAUGGGAGUUAACGAAGUUCUUGUUAAGCUUGGUUCCAAUGGAUCUGCUCUUUUCACCAAAGGAGAGGAACCCUUGCGGCAGCCCAUUAUAAAAGCUGCAAAAGUCGUUGAUACAACUGGAGCUGGUGACACUUUUACAUCUGCUUUUGCAGUGGCCUUGGUUGAGGGGAAAUCCAAAAAGGAAUGUUUGAGAUUUGCGGCUGCAGCAGCUUCUCUAUGUGUUCAAGUGAAGGGAGCAAUCCCAAGCAUGCCUGAGAAGAAAGCAGUUUUCAGUCUUCUCCAGUCAGUUUGAAGACCUAGAGUUUCCUUUAUUGAUGCCCUUGUACAUAAAAAUAAGAGUUUCUCAGGUUAAUGAGUUGAAGUUCCGGACUUUUUAUUUUCAUGAAGAGGACUGCUAUGGAUCACUGGUUAACUUUGGGAAGGAGCACUAAUCUGCAUAUUUUGCUGCUGAUGCCUAAUCUGAUACUGCUUUGAAAUGCUUAUUCUACCUUUUGUAAAAAACAAAAGAAAAGAAAACUAUCCUUUUCCAUGAGUAACUUCAGGUAGCCGGUUAGCAUAGCUGUGUCCUCUGUGCCAGGGAACUAACCAAGCAAAGGGCAUAGUGUUUAUUACUUGAGAGUUUUCAUUACUGAUUGACAAAUUUGAGUGACGUUUGACUGCUGUUGAGGGUUUAAAUGAGCUUCAUCUUGUUCCCGACUGAUUUUGCUAAUAUUCUUGUGCUUUCGUUUAA
RNA transcript from Nicotiana tabacum (common tobacco), 1663 nucleotides. It is a transcript of the gene named ribokinase-like, with no coding region annotated. Lineage: Eukaryota; Viridiplantae; Streptophyta; Magnoliopsida; Solanales; Solanaceae. The record is from RefSeq and is a predicted model, not a curated record.